UACGGGAGGCAGCAGUGGGGAAUAUUGCGCAAUGGGGGAAACCCUGACGCAGCAACGCCGCGUGAGUGAAGAAGUAUUUCGGUAUGUAAAGCUCUAUCAGCAGGGAAGAAGAUGACGGUACCUGCAGAAGAAGUCCCGGCUAACUACGUGCCAGCAGCCGCGGUAAU
RNAcentral lists this ribosomal RNA (167 nucleotides) under uncultured rumen bacterium. Its description in RNAcentral is "partial 16S ribosomal RNA". It matches the Rfam family "Bacterial small subunit ribosomal RNA", at positions 340 to 524 of the family's 1533-position model. The record is from RNAcentral.